AAGGCGGUACGUUCCGGUCGCCGCUCCCCCCGGGGGGCCGGCCGGCUCGUUCCGCCAUUUUCACCCACGCCAUAACACAUUUGACCAGUAUCGAACGCUUGCAGGCCCUGCCUCGAGCUUUAACUGAGACAACUCUCAACAACGGAUAUCUUGGCUCUCGCAACGAUGAAGAACGCAGCGAAAUGCGAUACGUAGUGUGAAUUGCAGAAUUCCGUGAAUCAUCGAAUCUUUGAACGCAUAUUGCGGUCGAGGCUUCGGCCGAGACCACGUCUGCCUCAGCGUCGGAAUACACCCUCAGCCCAAAGGCUGGAGCUGGCCCCCCCGGAGACGCCUCGUUCCCCGGGUCGGCUGAAAGGCAGAGGCUCCCGCACGGACCCAUCGAGGCCGCGGUUAGGUAGGUAGCUCGCUACUGCUAGCCGGAGGCCGGGCACGCGCGGCGGAGCCCGCAGGUUAUUCUAACACAUCGACCU
RNAcentral lists this unclassified non-coding RNA (470 nucleotides) under Ulvella leptochaete. Its description in RNAcentral is "sequence contains ITS1". The stretch from base 131 to 284 matches the Rfam family "5.8S ribosomal RNA". Lineage: Eukaryota; Viridiplantae; Chlorophyta; Ulvophyceae; Ulvales; Ulvellaceae. The record is from RNAcentral.